This 650-nucleotide ribosomal RNA is filed under the name Clostridioides difficile. Its description in RNAcentral is "bacterial SSU rRNA". It matches the Rfam family "Bacterial small subunit ribosomal RNA", at positions 1 to 677 of the family's 1533-position model. Lineage: Bacteria; Bacillati; Bacillota; Clostridia; Peptostreptococcales; Peptostreptococcaceae. The record is from RNAcentral.
UUUUAUUUGAGAGUUUGAUCCUGGCUCAGGAUGAACGCUGGCGGCGUGCCUAACACAUGCAAGUUGAGCGAUUUACUUCGGUAAAGAGCGGCGGACGGGUGAGUAACGCGUGGGUAACCUACCCUGUACACACGGAUAACAUACCGAAAGGUAUGCUAAUACGGGAUAAUAUAUUUGAGAGGCAUCUCUUGAAUAUCAAAGGUGAGCCAGUACAGGAUGGACCCGCGUCUGAUUAGCUAGUUGGUAAGGUAACGGCUUACCAAGGCGACGAUCAGUAGCCGACCUGAGAGGGUGAUCGGCCACAUUGGAACUGAGACACGGUCCAAACUCCUACGGGAGGCAGCAGUGGGGAAGAUUGCACAAUGGGCGAAAGCCUGAUGCAGCAACGCCGCGGGAGUGAUGAAGGCCUUCGGGUCGUAAAACUCUGUCCUCAAGGAAGAUAAUGACGGUACUUGAGGAGGAAGCCCCGGCUAACUACGUGCCAGCAGCCGCGGUAAUACGUAGGGGGCUAGCGUUAUCCGGAUUUACUGGGCGUAAAGGGUGCGUAGGCGGUCUUUCAAGUCAGGAGUGAAAGGCUACGGCUCAACCGUAGUAAGCUCUUGAAACUGGGAGACUUGAGUGCAGGAGAGGAGAGUGGAAUUCCUAGUGUA